CCGCUGAUCAUUAGAGGAGUAUAGGGCUGCUGCUGUCUCUUCCUGAAGUCAACAAUCAGCUCUUUAGUUUUGCUCACAUUCAGAGAGAGACAAUUGUCCUGGCACCAUGAUGUUAAUUUCUCUACCUCAUCCAAGUAUGCGGUCUCAUUAUUGUUGGAAAUGAGGCCCAGAACCACAGUAUCAUCAGCAAAUUUAAUAAUAGAUGUGGAGCUGUGGGAAGACACGCAGUCAUGUGUGUAGAGAGAGUAGAGCAGGGGACUCAGGCAAGCGUGUACGUCUGCAGACUGCAAGACAGAGGCGUAACUUGAAAGAGGCGUAACUUGAAGUAGGAGGCGUAACUUGAAGUUGUCGAAAUCUCAUAGAAUCACGCGAGAUGUCAAAAUGAUAAGUUGUUGGCAAUAUGGCUGCUUUCAGUAGGGCACAGAGUAGAAUAUUGAUUACGUUUUUUAUGGAAAUCAGGGGUUUUAGGCAGGAUUUGAUGCAUAAGGUGUGUGUAGAUAUUAAUGUUAGGGGACAAUGUGAGUGAUGUGUACGUUUAGUGGGAAAACCUAUUAUCUGAUCCACACUCCGGGACAGAAGAGGGCGGUAUUGCACCAAUAAGCUGGAUGCCAACCGCCGUUAAACUGGAAAGAAGUUACAAUGAGUUACAAUGAUCUUUUGUGGUGGAGCAGGACCUGCAAGGAAAGGGGAAAAAAAGGAAAAACCUGAAACAAAAGAAUAAAGUAGUGGUGCUCAUGGAGAGCAGCACACGAUUGUUUGGAGCAGACACAGCAGCACUCAGAUUGUCCUGCAUGUGUUCUUCUGCUCUCGUUUCAAGGUUGUGUGGUUCAGAGAGCCGUCAUCAAGGUCUUCCUCAUCCUGUUGCUCAACGACAUCCCCGUUGAGAAGAGUGAGAUUGUGAAGCACAGCGCAGCAGCAGAACUGUCUCAGCUGUGUUGAGAUGAUAGUAAGAUGUGGGGUUCACCGUCUGUAAAUACAUGAUUGUUAGAACAGUAAGUUUGAAAGAAGCUUUGUUUCAUGUGUUGUUGACUUGUACAUGUCUGCAUUUAUUGUGAUGCUAACAUUUAUACAUUCUUUUAAUCAUUUAGACAUGUUUCUUGUUGUCAGUAAAUAAAAUAUAAA
Long non-coding RNA from Cyprinus carpio carpio, 1122 nucleotides. NCBI's taxonomy places the organism in Eukaryota, Metazoa, Chordata, Actinopteri, Cypriniformes, Cyprinidae. The record is from Ensembl.